GACGAACGCUGGCGGCGUGCCUAAUACAUGCAAGUAGAACGCACAGUUUAUACCGUAGCUUGCUACACCAUAGACUGUGAUUUGCGAACGGGUGAGUAACGCGUAGGUAACCUGCCUGGUAGCGGGGGAUAACUAUUGGAAACGAUAGCUAAUACCGCAUAAUAUUAAUUAUUGCAUGAUAAUUGAUUGAAAGAUGCAACUGCAUCACUACCAGAUGGACCUGCGUUGUAUUAGCUAGUAGGUGAGGUAACGGCUCACCUAGGCGACGAUACAUAGCCGACCUGAGAGGGUGAUCGGCCACACUGGGACUGAGACACGGCCCAGACUCCUACGGGAGGCAGCAGUAGGGAAUCUUCGGCAAUGGACGAAAGUCUGACCGAGCAACGCCGCGUGAGUGAAGAAGGUUUUCGGAUCGUAAAGCUCUGUUGUAAGAGAAGAACGGGUGUGAGAGUGGAAAGUUCACACUGUGACGGUAUCUUACCAGAAAGGGACGGCUAACUACGUG
Molecule: ribosomal RNA, 505 nt
Filed under: uncultured bacterium
Lineage: Bacteria
Description: partial 16S ribosomal RNA
Rfam family: Bacterial small subunit ribosomal RNA
Source: RNAcentral